RNAcentral lists this transfer RNA (74 nucleotides) under Pirellulaceae bacterium. RNAcentral's name for it is "tRNA-Met". It matches the Rfam family "tRNA". Rfam says of the family: Transfer RNA (tRNA) molecules are approximately 80 nucleotides in length. Their secondary structure includes four short double-helical elements and three loops (D, anti-codon, and T loops). Lineage: Bacteria; Pseudomonadati; Planctomycetota; Planctomycetia; Pirellulales; Pirellulaceae. The record is from RNAcentral.
UGCGGGGUGGAGCAGCUGGUUAGCUCGCAAGGUUCAUACCCUUGAGGUCGCAGGUUCGAGUCCUGCUCCCGCUA